RNAcentral lists this ribosomal RNA (253 nucleotides) under uncultured bacterium. Its description in RNAcentral is "partial 16S ribosomal RNA". It matches the Rfam family "Bacterial small subunit ribosomal RNA", at positions 524 to 776 of the family's 1533-position model. The record is from RNAcentral.
UACGGAGGGGGCUAGCGUUGUUCGGAAUUACUGGGCGUAAAGCGCGCGUAGGCGGACCUGCAAGUCGGGGGUGAAAGCCCGAGGCUCAACCUCGGAACUGCAUUCGAUACUGCGGGUCUCGAGUCCGGGAGAGGUGAGUGGAAUUCCUAGUGUAGAGGUGAAAUUCGUAGAUAUUAGGAGGAACACCAGUGGCGAAGGCGGCUCACUGGCCCGGUACUGACGCUGAGGCGCGAAAGCGUGGGGAGCAAACAGG